This 574-nucleotide long non-coding RNA is filed under the name Arabidopsis lyrata. Its description in RNAcentral is "long non-coding RNA (ALYR_LNC002376)". Lineage: Eukaryota; Viridiplantae; Streptophyta; Magnoliopsida; Brassicales; Brassicaceae. The record is from RNAcentral.
AUAUAUAUUAAGACAUUGUUUUGUUAUGUAAGAGCUGUAAUAGAAAACUUAACUUUGUAAAUCGUCUUUCUCAGACAAAAUCAUCAUCGAAUCAUUAUCUGAAAACAGUUUAGGAACAAGUUAAAUAUCAACACUUUUCAGGAAACAAAAUCUACUGUCUAAAUCUAUACAAAAUCAAAUUAUAGCUUAUAUUAACUCCAACGAAUAGAAGAUUUUGAUAAUAGAUUGAGUUACCCGGUUAAACACAAAAAUUAUAGACAAUCAAUUUCGGAUCUAAACAACAAAUAUAAUUGAAAAUACUUACUCAUGCAAGUUCGUAUAAUCACAGUGAUAGUCCAAGAUCUCUGUUGAAACAUAGAAUUACAAAGAUUGUAAAAUGAAUCGACAGAUUAUAAAAAUAGAUUGAUUGAAGAAGAAUCUCUAAAAACCUUACCUCUUUGAAGAAAUACCGAAUCUUAUAUGGAAAUUUGAUAUACGGAGACGUACUCGAUUGAUUAUCUAAACUUUUGACAUUGUUUGAGAAAUCGAAAAAUCUUCUGAGUUUUAGGGUUGCAUUACUUUGAAGAGGAUAAGA